GACCAGACUCCUACGGGAGGCAGCAGUGGGGAAUAUUGCACAAUGGGGGAAACCCUGAUGCAGCGACGCCGCGUGAGCGAUGAAGUAUUUCGGUAUGUAAAGCUCUAUCAGCAGGGAAGAAAAUGACGGUACCUGACUAAGAAGCCCCGGCUAACUACGUGCCAGCAGCCGCGGUAAUACGUAGGGGGCAAGCGUUAUCCGGAUUUACUGGGUGUAAAGGGAGCGUAGACGGCGGUGCAAGCCAGAUGUGAAAGCCCGGGGCUCAACCCCGGGACUGCUCUUGGAACUGCGCGGCUGGAGUGCAGGAGGGGCAGGCGGAAUUCCUGGUGUAGCGGUGAAAUGCGUAGAUAUCAGGAGGAACACCGGUGGCGAAGGCGGCCUGCUGGACUGCGACUGACGUUGAGGCCCGAAAGCGUGGGGAGCAAACAGGAUUAGAUACCCUAGUAGGG
Molecule: ribosomal RNA, 449 nt
Filed under: uncultured bacterium
Lineage: Bacteria
Description: partial 16S ribosomal RNA
Rfam family: Bacterial small subunit ribosomal RNA
Source: RNAcentral